GACGAACGCUGGCGGCGUGCUUAACACAUGCAAGUCGAACGGAAAGGCCCUGCUUUUGUGGGGUGCUCGAGUGGCGAACGGGUGAGUAACACGUGAGUAACCUGCCCUUGACUUUGGGAUAACUUCAGGAAACUGGGGCUAAUACCGGAUAGGAGCUCCUGCUGCAUGGUGGGGGUUGGAAAGUUUCGGCGGUUGGGGAUGGACUCGCGGCUUAUCAGCUUGUUGGUGGGGUAGUGGCUUACAAAGGCUUUGACGGGUAGCCGGCCUGAGAGGGUGACCGGCGACAUUGGGACUGAGAUACGGCCCAGACGCCUACGGGAGGCAGCAGUGGGGAAUAUGGCACAAUGGGCGGAAGCCUGAUGCAGCAACGCCGCGUGCGGGAUGACGGCCUUCGGGUUGUAAACCGCUUUCGCCGGUGACGAAGCGUGAUUGACGGUAAUGAGUAAAGAAGCACCGGCUAACUACGUG
This 468-nucleotide ribosomal RNA is filed under the name uncultured bacterium. RNAcentral's name for it is "partial 16S ribosomal RNA". It matches the Rfam family "Bacterial small subunit ribosomal RNA", at positions 28 to 507 of the family's 1533-position model. The record is from RNAcentral.